AAUUCCCUGCCUUGUUCGUGAUACGAAACUAAGUCCUUGAACCGUAAGCUCGUAAAAACGGAACCUUGACUUCGAUGGUGGCCGACAGGCCUUUACUGGAAGUCGUAAGCCACAUGAUUGGGUUCCACCUGUUUCAGGUCAGUUCAAAGGAACUGUUACACACGGCAAAGGCGGGGUUAUU
RNAcentral lists this non-coding RNA (181 nucleotides) under Verrucomicrobiota bacterium. Its description in RNAcentral is "Verrucomicrobia bacterium (soil metagenome) 6S RNA". It matches the Rfam family "6S / SsrS RNA". From Rfam's summary of the family: E. coli 6S RNA was the first non coding RNA to be sequenced, but its function was unknown until recently. It consists of 184 nucleotides that fold into an extended hairpin structure with a large single-stranded internal bulge. Lineage: Bacteria; Pseudomonadati; Verrucomicrobiota. The record is from RNAcentral.